This 497-nucleotide ribosomal RNA is filed under the name uncultured bacterium. RNAcentral describes it as "partial 16S ribosomal RNA". It matches the Rfam family "Bacterial small subunit ribosomal RNA", at positions 28 to 507 of the family's 1533-position model. The record is from RNAcentral.
GAUGAACGCUGGCGGCGUGCCUAAUACAUGCAAGUCGAGCGAACGGACGAGAAGCUUGCUUCUCUGAUGUUAGCGGCGGACGGGUGAGUAACACGUGGAUAACCUACCUAUAAGACUGGGAUAAUUUCGGGAAACCGGAGCUAAUACCGGAUGAUAUUUUGAACCGCAUGGUUCAAAAGUGAAAGACGGUCUUGCUGUCACUUAUAGAUGGAUCCGCGCUGCAUUAGUUAGUUGGUAAGGUAACGGCUUACCAAGGCAACGAUGCAUAGCCGACCUGAGAGGGUGAUCGGCCACACUGGAACUGAGACACGGUCCAGACUCCUACGGGAGGCAGCAGUAGGGAAUCUUCCGCAAUGGGCGAAAGCCUGACGGAGCAACGCCGCGUGAGUGAUGAAGGUCUUCGGAUCGUAAAACUCUGUUAUUAGGGAAGAACAUAUGUGUAAGUAACUGUGCACAUCUUGACGGUACCUAAUCAGAAAGCCACGGCUAACUACGUG